GGGAAUGUGGCUUAGCGGUAGAGUGCUUGUCUAGCAUGCAUGAAGCUGGAUUCGAUUCCUCAGUACCA
RNAcentral lists this transfer RNA (68 nucleotides) under Dipodomys ordii (Ord's kangaroo rat). It matches the Rfam family "tRNA". Rfam says of the family: Transfer RNA (tRNA) molecules are approximately 80 nucleotides in length. Their secondary structure includes four short double-helical elements and three loops (D, anti-codon, and T loops). The record is from Rfam by way of RNAcentral. Lineage: Eukaryota; Metazoa; Chordata; Mammalia; Rodentia; Heteromyidae.